UACGGGGGGAGCAAGCGUUGUUCGGAUUUACUGGGCGGAAAGGGCGCGUAGGCGGCGCAACAAGUCACUUGUGAAAUCUCCGGGCUUAACCCGGAGCGGCCAAGUGAUACUGUCGUGCUAGAGUGCGGAAGGGGCUACUGGAAUUCUCGGUGUAGCGGUGAAAUGCGUAGAUAUCGAGAGGAGCACCUGCGGCGAAGGCGGGUAGCUGGGCCGACACUGACUCUGAGGCGCGAAAGCCAGGGGAGCGAACGGG
RNAcentral lists this ribosomal RNA (253 nucleotides) under uncultured bacterium. Its description in RNAcentral is "partial 16S ribosomal RNA". It matches the Rfam family "Bacterial small subunit ribosomal RNA", at positions 524 to 776 of the family's 1533-position model. The record is from RNAcentral.